GUGCCAGCCGCCGCGGUAAUACGGAGGGUGCGAGCGUUAAUCGGAAUUACUGGGCGUAAAGCGCAUGCAGGUGGUUAGUUAAGUCAGAUGUGAAAGCCCGGGGCUCAACCUCGGAAUUGCAUUUGAAACUGGCUGACUAGUGUAUUGUAGAAGGGGGGUAGAAUUUCAGGUGUAGCGGUGAAAUGCGUAGAGAUCUGAAGGAAUACCGGUGGCGAAGGCGGCCCCCUGGACAGAUACUGACACUCAGAUGCGAAAGCGUGGGGAGCAAACAGGAUUAGAAACCCCCGUAGUCC
This 293-nucleotide ribosomal RNA is filed under the name uncultured prokaryote. RNAcentral describes it as "partial 16S ribosomal RNA". It matches the Rfam family "Bacterial small subunit ribosomal RNA", at positions 505 to 796 of the family's 1533-position model. The record is from RNAcentral.